GUACACGCUGUGACUAGCAUAUCAAUAAGCGGAGGAAAAGAAACUAACAAGGAUUCCCUUAGUAACGGCGAGUGAAGCGGGAAGAGCUCAAAUUUGAAAUCUUGCAAGGUUUACCUUGACGAAUUGUAGUUUAAAGAAGUGUUUUCUGUUACGAUCGUAAUAUAAGUUCUUUGGAAUAGGACAUCAUAGAGGGUGAGAAUCCCGUAUGAUUGACCGAUUAUUGUCAGCUUUGUGAUACACUUUCAAAGAGUCGGAUUGUUUGGGAAUGCAGUCCAAAAUGGGUAGGUAAAUUUCAUCUAAGGCUAAAUAUUGGCGAGAGACCGAUAGUGAACAAGUACCGUGAGGGAAAGAUGAAAAGAACUUUGAAAAGAGAGUUAAAUAGUACGUGAAAUUGUCAAAAGGGAAGCGUUUAACACCAGUGUUGUUUUCUGAAAAUCAACCUCUGUUAGCUUUAUGCAUGUUUGUUUAGACCUAAUCAGCUAUCUUUCAUGUUCUAUUGUUUGCAGUGGUGCACUUUUCAGUUUACAGGUCAACAUCAGUUUUUUUUACCGUAAAAAAGUUAAAGAAAGGUAGCUCAUGGCUCCGGUCGUGAGUGUUAUAGUCUUUUUCCUAUGCGGUAGGAGAGACUGAGGUCUGCAGUGUAGGCUAUUUGGCUAGAUACUCAGGUGCUAUGUGAUACCAUUUCAUAAACAAUUUGUUGAUUAUGUUUUGUCUAUUGCAUACUCGCUUGUACUAUCAUACCUACGCUUAGGAUGUUGAGUAGCGACAUACGCAC
This 775-nucleotide ribosomal RNA is filed under the name uncultured Neocallimastigales. Its description in RNAcentral is "partial large subunit ribosomal RNA". The stretch from base 4 to 665 matches the Rfam family "Eukaryotic large subunit ribosomal RNA", at positions 24 to 664 of the family's 3401-position model. The record is from RNAcentral. Lineage: Eukaryota; Fungi; Neocallimastigomycota; Neocallimastigomycetes; Neocallimastigales.